ACAAAAGUAAAAAUAACUAAAUUAAAAUACAAGGAAUAAACCCAUAAGUUGAGUGAAAUAGAGAGAGUAAUAGGAGAAUUUAACCUAUUAGAGUAGGUUAUGUUAUUGCCCUGCAUAUACAACUCCUUUGUUUCUUGAAAUGUGUUAAAACGACAACUGAAACUGCAAUCAAAAGAGUUAAAAGAUUAAAUUAAGAACACACAACAAAAUCUAUAUCUGGGAUUCUUCUUUGGACUCUUAACAAAUCAGCAUUACAUUGCUUUGCAAGCUCUUACAUUUCUUAUUGCAGAACCAAACCUAAUCCAGUAGUUUACAAGGAUACCAGAAAAUAAAAAGAAGAAACAAAAAAUCCUAUCAUGAUAUGUUUUCUUACAAUUUUUUGUCAUGUCUGGAAAGAAAACAAAGCCUGUCGAGUUAAAACCAUAAAUGUUCCUCUCUCGCUCAUUGUCCAUGUUUCUCUUUAAAGGCUAAUGGAACAGAAAAAAGGCAGAGAAGAAUAUUUGCAGUACAAGUAAGCCAAAUAAUUUUAAAAGAAGAAGAAGAAUAUGCUUGGGAAUUUAUUAAAGUUUUCAUUGAAGAUCGUUUCAGUGUUGUGAGAAUGAGGGGGACAAAAGUGAAAAGUGAAAACUCUUGUCUUUGAAUGGUAUCUUAAAGUGCAAGAAAGAAACAAGGGUUUUUUGCUCUUAUAUUAUGUAGUAUUUGAAUCUCUGUUGGGAUUGUUCUUGUUCUUUAUUACAGCCAAAAAAAAAAAAAAAAGUUUGGGCUCGAAUUUCAUGUCGGCUGCAGCAUUUGCAUGCCAUGAGAGAAUCGAUCCCCUGUCUCACACACACACAUUCAAAAGUAAAAAUAAAAAUAGUCAGUGUUUUAU
Molecule: long non-coding RNA, 868 nt
Filed under: Gossypium barbadense (sea-island cotton)
Lineage: Eukaryota; Viridiplantae; Streptophyta; Magnoliopsida; Malvales; Malvaceae
Description: long non-coding RNA (GBAR_LNC010832)
Source: RNAcentral